This 305-nucleotide ribosomal RNA is filed under the name uncultured bacterium. RNAcentral describes it as "bacterial SSU rRNA". It matches the Rfam family "Bacterial small subunit ribosomal RNA", at positions 338 to 641 of the family's 1533-position model. The record is from RNAcentral.
CCUACGGGAGGCAGCAGUGAGGAAUAUUGGUCAAUGGGCGCGAGCCUGAACCAGCCAAGUCGCGUGAGGGAAGACGGUCCUAUUGAUUGUAAACCUCUUUUGUCGGGGAGCAAAAGACGCCACGUGUGGCGUUCCGAGAGUACCCGAAGAAAAAGCAUCGGCUAACUCCGUGCCAGCAGCCGCGGUAAUACGGAGGAUGCGAGCGUUAUCCGGAUUUAUUGGGUUUAAAGGGUGCGAAGGCGGGAGAUCAAGUCAGCGGUAAAAUGUCGGGGCUCAACCCCGGCCGGCCGUUGAAACUGGUUUUU